Molecule: ribosomal RNA, 443 nt
Filed under: uncultured bacterium
Lineage: Bacteria
Description: partial 16S ribosomal RNA
Rfam family: Bacterial small subunit ribosomal RNA
Source: RNAcentral
CCUACGGGAGGCAACAGUGGGGAAUAUUGGGCAAUGGAGGCAACUCUGACCCAGCAACGCCGCGUGAAUGAUGAAGGUCUUCUGAUUGUAAAGUUCUGUGAUGGGGGAUGAACACAAUGACGGUACCCCAAUAGCAAGCCACGGCUACCUACGUGCCAGCAGCCGCGGUAAUACGUAGGUGGCAAGCGUUAGCCGGAUUGACUGGGCGUAAGGGGUGCGUAGGUGGUUUAGUAAGUUAGCGGUGUAAUUCCGGGGCUCAACCUCGGCGCUACCGCCAAAACUAUUAGACUAGAGUGCAGGAGGGGUAAGUGGAAUUCCUAGUGUAGCGGUGGAAUGCGUAGAUAUUAGGAGGAACAUCAGGGGCGAAGGCGACUUACUGGACUGUAACUGACACUGAGGCACGAAAGCGUGGGGAGCAAACAGGAUUAGAUACCCCAGUAGUC